RNAcentral lists this ribosomal RNA (660 nucleotides) under uncultured bacterium. Its description in RNAcentral is "bacterial SSU rRNA". It matches the Rfam family "Bacterial small subunit ribosomal RNA", at positions 94 to 788 of the family's 1533-position model. The record is from RNAcentral.
AGUGGCGGACGGGUGAGUAACGCGUGAGAAUCUGCCUUGGGGUCGGGGACAACCACUGGAAACGGUGGCUAAUACCGGAUAAGCCGAUUGGUGAAGGAUUUAUUGCCCGAAGAGGAGCUCGCGUCUGAUUAGCUAGUUGGUGAGGUAAGAGCUCACCAAGGCAGCGAUCAGUAGCUGGUCUGAGAGGACGAUCAGCCACACUGGGACUGAGACACGGCCCAGACUCCUACGGGAGGCAGCAGUGGGGAAUUUUCCGCAAUGGGCGAAAGCCUGACGGAGCAAGACCGCGUGAGGGAGGAAGGCUCUUGGGUUGUAAACCUCUUUUCUCAGGGAAGAAGCUCUGACGGUACCUGAGGAAUCAGCCUCGGCUAACUCCGUGCCAGCAGCCGCGGUAAUACGGAGGAGGCAAGCGUUAUCCGGAAUUAUUGGGCGUAAAGCGUCCGCAGGUGGCGAUUCAAGUCUGCUGUCAAAGCACGGGGCUUAACUCCGUAAAGGCAGUGGAAACUGAAUAGCUAGAGUGCCGUAGGGGUAGAGGGAAUUCCCGGUGUAGCGGUGAAAUGCGUAGAGAUCGGGAAGAACAUCGGUGGCGAAAGCGCUCUACUGGACGGCAACUGACACUCAGGGACGAAAGCUAGGGGAGCGAAUGGGAUUAGAUACCCC